Molecule: ribosomal RNA, 441 nt
Filed under: uncultured bacterium
Lineage: Bacteria
Description: bacterial SSU rRNA
Rfam family: Bacterial small subunit ribosomal RNA
Source: RNAcentral
GUACGGGAGGCAGCAGUGGGGAAUCUUGCACAAUGGAGGAAACUCUGAUGCAGCGACGCCGCGUGAGCGAUGAAGCCCUUCGGGGUGUAAAGCUCUUUCGACAGGAACGAUAAUGACGGUACCUGGAGAAGAAGCUGCGGCUAACUACGUGCCAGCAGCCGCGGUAAUACGUAGGCAGCAAGCGUUGUUCGGAAUUACUGGGCGUAAAGAGUGUGUAGGCGGUUCUCUAAGUUCGGUGUGAAAUCUCCCGGCUUAACUGGGAGGGUGCGCCGGAAACUGGAGGGCUUGAGUAUGGGAGAGGAAGGCGGAAUUCCUGGUGUAGCGGUGAAAUGCGUAGAUAUCAGGAGGAACACCUGCGGUGUAGACAGCUUUCUGGACCAUCACUGACGCUGAGACACGAAAGCGUGGGUAGCAAACAGGAUUAGAUACCCGUGUAGUCCU